This 472-nucleotide ribosomal RNA is filed under the name uncultured bacterium. Its description in RNAcentral is "partial 16S ribosomal RNA". It matches the Rfam family "Bacterial small subunit ribosomal RNA", at positions 28 to 507 of the family's 1533-position model. The record is from RNAcentral.
GACGAACGCUGGCGGCGUGCUUAACACAUGCAAGUCGAACGCUGAAGCUUGGUGCUUGCACUGGGUGGAUGAGUGGCGAACGGGUGAGUAAUAAGUGAGUAACCUGCCCUUGACUCUGGGAUAAGCCUGGGAAACUGGGUCUAAUACUGGAUACGACAUGUCACUGCAUGGUGGUGUGUGGAAAGGGUUUUACUGGUUUUGGAUGGGCUCACGGCCUAUCAGCUUGUUGGUGGGGUAAUGGCUCACCAAGGCGACGACGGGUAGCCGGCCUGAGAGGGUGACCGGCCACACUGGGACUGAGACACGGCCCAGACUCCUACGGGAGGCAGCAGUGGGGAAUAUUGCACAAUGGGCGGAAGCCUGAUGCAGCGACGCCGCGUGAGGGAUGACGGCCUUCGGGUUGUAAACCUCUUUCAGCACGGAAGAAGCGAAAGUGACGGUACGUGCAGAAGAAGCGCCGGCUAACUACGUG